Molecule: transfer RNA, 65 nt
Filed under: Ptiliidae sp. BMNH 1274726
Lineage: Eukaryota; Metazoa; Arthropoda; Insecta; Coleoptera; Ptiliidae
Description: tRNA-Asp
Source: RNAcentral
AAGGAUUUAGUUAAAAAAUAACAUUAAUUUGUCAAGUUAAAAUUAUCUUUAUUAGUUAAUUCUUA